UGGUGUCUGCAUUGGCAACGAGGCUGUGU
RNAcentral lists this non-coding RNA (29 nucleotides) under Homo sapiens (human). The record is from RNAcentral. Lineage: Eukaryota; Metazoa; Chordata; Mammalia; Primates; Hominidae.